This 265-nucleotide ribosomal RNA is filed under the name uncultured Glomus. RNAcentral describes it as "partial 18S ribosomal RNA". It matches the Rfam family "Eukaryotic small subunit ribosomal RNA", at positions 619 to 888 of the family's 1831-position model. Lineage: Eukaryota; Fungi; Glomeromycota; Glomeromycetes; Glomerales; Glomeraceae. The record is from RNAcentral.
UUAAGAAGCUCGUAGUUGAAUUUCGGGGUUAGUAGGUUGGUCAUGCCUCUGGUAUGUACUGGUCUCACUGAUUCCUCCUUCCUGAUGAACCGUAAUGCCAUUAAUUUGGUGUUGCGGGCAAUUUGGACUGUUACUUUGAAAAAAUUAGAGUGUUUAAAGCAAGCUAACGCUUGAAUACAUUAGCAUGGAAUAAUGAAAUAGGACGUUCGAUCCUAUUUUGUUGGUUUCUAGGAUUGACGUAAUGAUUAAUAGGGAUAGUUGGGGG